RNAcentral lists this ribosomal RNA (904 nucleotides) under uncultured Neocallimastigales. RNAcentral's name for it is "partial large subunit ribosomal RNA". It matches the Rfam family "Eukaryotic large subunit ribosomal RNA", at positions 26 to 628 of the family's 3401-position model. The record is from RNAcentral. Lineage: Eukaryota; Fungi; Neocallimastigomycota; Neocallimastigomycetes; Neocallimastigales.
CGCAUCUGUGCAUGCAGCAUAUCAAUAAGCGGAGGAAAAGAAACUAACAAGGAUUCCCUUAGUAACGGCGAGUGAAGCGGGAAGAGCUCAAAUUUGAAAUCUUCAAGGUUUUACCUUGACGAAUUGUAGUUUAAAGAAGCGUUUUCUGUUGAAGUUUUGGUAAAAGUUCUUUGGAAUAGGACAUCAUAGAGGGUGAGAAUCCCGUAUUUGACCAUUAUUUUCAGCUGUGUGAUACACUUUCAAAGAGUCGGAUUGUUUGGGAAUGCAGUCCAAAAUGGGUGGUAAAUUUCAUCUAAAGCUAAAUAUUGGCGAGAGACCGAUAGCGAACAAGUACCGUGAGGGAAAGAUGAAAAGAACUUUGAAAAGAGAGUUAAACAGUACGUGAAAUUGUCAAAAGGGAAGCGUUUGACACCAGUGUUGUUUUCUCGAAAAUCAAUUAAAAAGAGUUUAGAUUUUGUUGUGUAUUGACCUUAACAGCUUGCAUUUCAAUUUUCUUGCUUUUUUUAAUGACACUUUUCGUUUAACAAGUCAACAUCAGUUUCUUUUGUUGUAAAAAGGUCAUUGGAAGGUGGCUUUCUUUUCGGAGAAAGUGUUUAUAGCCUUUGACUCCUGCAAUCGGAGAGACUGAGGUCUGCAGCGUAGAUCCUUCGGGGUUAGAUACAUUUGUGCUAAGUUAUAGCUUUUUAUAGACAACUUGUUGACUAUGAUUAGUCUUGUAGCUUACUCGCUUAUGCUAUUUUACCUACGCUUAGGAUGUUGACGCGCGUGUGUGCGUGAUCUAUACAUGACUCUGUGCAUAUCAAUAAGCGGAGGAAAAGCAUACCACCGAUGAUAUGAUGUUCACCGUGGAAACCGUUUCCUGUCUGGGUACCUACGCUUAGGAUGUUGAUGUGAUACUGCGAGC